CAGUCGAGCGAGACCUUCGGGUCUAGCGGCGGACGGGUGAGUAACGCGUGGGAACGUGCCCUUUGCUACGGAAUAGUCCCGGGAAACUGGGUUUAAUACCGUAUGUGCCCUUCGGGGGAAAGAUUUAUCGGCAAAGGAUCGGCCCGCGUUGGAUUAGGUAGUUGGUGGGGUAAUGGCCUACCAAGCCGACGAUCCAUAGCUGGUUUGAGAGGAUGAUCAGCCACACUGGGACUGAGACACGGCCCAGACUCCUACGGGAGGCAGCAGUGGGGAAUCUUAGACAAUGGGGGCAACCCUGAUCUAGCCAUGCCGCGUGAGUGAUGAAGGCCUUAGGGUUGUAAAGCUCUUUCAGCUGGGAAGAUAAUGACGGUACCAGCAGAAGAAGCCCCGGCUAACUCCGUGCCAGCAGCCGCGGUAAUACGGAGGGGGCUAGCGUUGUUCGGAAUUACUGGGCGUAAAGCGCACGUAGGCGGACUGGAAAGUUGGGGGUGAAAUCCCGGGGCUCAACCUCGGAACUGCCUUCAAAACUAUCAGUCUGGAGUUCGAGAGAGGUGAGUGGAAUACCGAGUGUAGAGGUGAAAUUCGUAGAUAUUCGGUGGAACACC
RNAcentral lists this ribosomal RNA (605 nucleotides) under uncultured bacterium. Its description in RNAcentral is "bacterial SSU rRNA". It matches the Rfam family "Bacterial small subunit ribosomal RNA", at positions 59 to 710 of the family's 1533-position model. The record is from RNAcentral.